GAUGGCGGUGAGGAAGACCGCGCAGACCCAGUGGAGGCAAAAGCACCCGGAGACGAUAUCCGGGCCGCAGCAUCACAAAGCAUCCCUGGCAAGUGAGCAGAGACGGCCAGAAGAUCAUUGGCCACAUGGUAUUGCGAAAGCAGUCCGGAUCCGGGAGCAGUAGUAGCAUACUCGGGUUGAAAGUGGUCGGCG
RNAcentral lists this small RNA (192 nucleotides) under Apis mellifera (honey bee). RNAcentral describes it as "circAmrsmep2". The record is from RNAcentral. Lineage: Eukaryota; Metazoa; Arthropoda; Insecta; Hymenoptera; Apidae.